GAGAGUUCAAGAGGGCGUGAAACCGCUGAGAAGGAAACGGAUAGAGUUAACGAAACUUGAUGGCAUUCAUCCGACUAAUGCUACUACUGGCUGGAUGGCUGUACUACUGGCGUAACAACCAGUAGCAACUGUAUGGCUUGACCGGUAGUGUUUGGUUGGUGCUUUUGCCGUCGGUAUGUGCCGAGAGGUUCGCCGUGGUGCGCUAAAGUUUAAGCAAAGAGGACCGGGCAUCUCGUUAUGCUUGGAAACCUUUGCAUAGCGGUAGGCGUAUCCGCCUGGUGAAUCGUUGUUCGCUUCUGUGAUGCACAUGCAAGUAUGCGCAACGGUUAUCGCGUGGUUAACAUGAUUGUUGAGCGGUCGCAUGCUACUUGCUUACAGUUGGUGUUGGCUCGUCUGAUGAUGCGGUUGCGUCCAGUUGCAUCACAUCUCGGUAUGAAAGUUGACCACCUAUCCGACCCGUCUUGAAACACGGACCAAGGAGUUUAGCAUAUGCGCAAGUCAUUGGGUGGUAAACCUAAAGGCGAAAUGAAAGUAAAGAUUGCUUUAGUGCAGUUGAUAUGGGAUCUGUGUGGUUACGGCCACUGCAGCGCACCAUAGCCCCGUCUUUGUUGCUUGCAAUAGGGCGGAGGUAGAGCGCAUACGCUGAGACCCGAAAGAUGGUGAACUAUGCCUGAGCAGGAUGAAGCCAGAGGAAACUCUGGUGGAAGUCCGAAGCGGUUCUGACGUGCAAAUCGAU
This 736-nucleotide ribosomal RNA is filed under the name Hammerschmidtiella diesingi. RNAcentral describes it as "eukaryotic LSU rRNA". It matches the Rfam family "Eukaryotic large subunit ribosomal RNA", at positions 383 to 902 of the family's 3401-position model. Lineage: Eukaryota; Metazoa; Nematoda; Chromadorea; Rhabditida; Thelastomatidae. The record is from RNAcentral.